Molecule: ribosomal RNA, 495 nt
Filed under: uncultured bacterium
Lineage: Bacteria
Description: partial 16S ribosomal RNA
Rfam family: Bacterial small subunit ribosomal RNA
Source: RNAcentral
AUGAACGCUGGCGGCGUGCCUAAUACCUGCAAGUCGAGCGCACAGACGAGGAGCUUGCUCCUCUGACGUUAGCGGCGGACGGGUGAGUAACACGUGGAUAACCUACCUAUAAGACUGGGAUAACUUCGGGAAACCGGAGCUAAUACCGGAUAACAUGUUGAACCGCAUGGUUCAACAGUGAAAGACGGUCUUGCCGUCACUUAUAGAUGGAUCCGCGCCGCAUUAGCUAGUUGGUAAGGUAACGGCUUACCAAGGCAACGAUGCGUAGCCGACCUGAGAGGGUGAUCGGCCACACUGGAACUGAGACACGGUCCAGACUCCUACGGGAGGCAGAAGUAGGGAAUCUUCCGAAAUGGGCGAAAGCCUGACGGAGAAACGCGGCGUGAGGGAAGAAGGUCUUCGGAUCGUAAAACUCUUUUAUUAGGGAAGAACAAAUGUGUAAGUAACUAUGCAGGUCUUGACGGUACUAAUCAGAAAGCCACGGCUAACUACGUG